GAUGAACGCUGGCGGCGUGCCUAAUACAUGCAAGUCGAACGAACGGACGAGGCGCUUGCUGCUUUGACGUUAGCGGCGGACGGGUGAGUAACACGUGGAUAACCUACCUAUAAGACUGGGAUAACUUCGGGAAACCGGAGCUAAUCCCGGAUGAUAUCUUGAUCCGCAUGGUUCAAUAGUGAAAGACGGCGUUUCUGUCACUUCUCGAUGGUUCCGCGCUGCAUUAGCUAGUUGGUAAGUUAACGGCUUACCAAGGCGACGAUGCGUAGCCGAGCUGAGAGAGUGAUAGGCCACACUGGAGGGGAGACGCGGUCCAUGCUCCUACGGGAGGCAGCAGUAGGGUAUCGUCCGCAAUGGGCGAAAGCCUGACGGAGCGACGCCGCGUGAGUUAUGAAGGUCUUCGGUUCGUAAAACUCGGUUAUUAGGGAAGAACAGAUGUGGAAGUAACUGUGCACAUCGUGACGGUACCUAGUCAGAAAGCCCCGGCUAACUACGUG
This 497-nucleotide ribosomal RNA is filed under the name uncultured bacterium. Its description in RNAcentral is "partial 16S ribosomal RNA". It matches the Rfam family "Bacterial small subunit ribosomal RNA", at positions 28 to 507 of the family's 1533-position model. The record is from RNAcentral.